AUUGAACGCUGGCGGCAGGCCUAACACAUGCAAGUCGAGCGGAGGAAGGGCGCUUGCUCCUGGAUUCAGCGGCGGACGGGUGAGUAAUGCCUAGGAAUCUGCCUGGUAGUGGGGGAUAACGUCCGGAAACGGGCGCUAAUACCGCAUACGUCCUGAGGGAGAAAGUGGGGGAUCUUCGGACCUCACGCUAUCAGAUGAGCCUAGGUCGGAUUAGCUAGUUGGUGGGGUAAAGGCCUACCAAGGCGACGAUCCGUAACUGGUCUGAGAGGAUGAUCAGUCACACUGGAACUGAGACACGGUCCAGACUCCUACGGGAGGCAGCAGUGGGGAAUAUUGGACAAUGGGCGAAAGCCUGAUCCAGCCAUGCCGCGUGUGUGAAGAAGGUCUUCGGAUUGUAAAGCACUUUAAGUUGGGAGGAAGGGCAGUAAGUUAAUACCUUGCUGUUUUGACGUUACCAACAGAAUAAGCACCGGCUAACUUCGUG
Molecule: ribosomal RNA, 484 nt
Filed under: uncultured bacterium
Lineage: Bacteria
Description: partial 16S ribosomal RNA
Rfam family: Bacterial small subunit ribosomal RNA
Source: RNAcentral